This 466-nucleotide ribosomal RNA is filed under the name uncultured bacterium. Its description in RNAcentral is "partial 16S ribosomal RNA". It matches the Rfam family "Bacterial small subunit ribosomal RNA", at positions 28 to 507 of the family's 1533-position model. The record is from RNAcentral.
GAUGAACGCUGGCUGCGUGCUUAACACAUGCAAGUCGAACGAUGAAGCCCAGCUUGCUGGGUGGAUUAGUGGCGAACGGGUGAGUAACACGUGAGUAACCUGCCCUUAACUCUGGGAUAAGCCUGGGAAACUGGGUCUAAUACCGGAUAGGAGCGUCCACCGCAUGGUGGGUGUUGGAAAGAUUUAUCGGUUUUGGAUGGACUCGCGGCCUAUCAGCUUGUUGGUGAGGUAAUGGCUCACCAAGGCGACGACGGGUAGCCGGCCUGAGAGGGUGACCGGCCACACUGGGACUGAGACACGGCCCAGACUCCUACGGGAGGCAGCAGUGGGGAAUAUUGCACAAUGGGCGAAAGCCUGAUGCAGCGACGCCGCGUGAGGGAUGACGGCCUUCGGGUUGUAAACCUCUUUCAGUAGGGAAGAAGCGAAAGUGACGGUACCUGCAGAAGAAGCACCGGCUAACUACGUG